Molecule: ribosomal RNA, 460 nt
Filed under: uncultured bacterium
Lineage: Bacteria
Description: partial 16S ribosomal RNA
Rfam family: Bacterial small subunit ribosomal RNA
Source: RNAcentral
CCUACGGGGUGCAGCAGUGAGGAAUAUUGGUCAAUGGACGAGAGUCUGAACCAGCCAAGUAGCGUGAAGGAUGACUGCCCUAUGGGUUGUAAACUUCUUUUAUAAAGGAAUAAAGUGAGGCACGUGUGCCUCUUUGUAUGUACUUUAUGAAUAAGGAUUGGCUAACUCCGUGCCAGCAGCCGCGGUAAUACGGAGGAUCCGAGCGUUAUCCGGAUUUAUUGGGUUUAAAGGGAGCGUAGAUGGGUUGUUAAGUCAGUUGUGAAAGUUUGCGGCUCAACCGUAAAAUUGCAGUUGAUACUGGCAGCCUUGAGUACAGUAGAGGUAGGCGGAAUUCGUGGUGUAGCGGUGAAAUGCUUAGAUAUCACGAAGAACUCCGAUUGCGAAGGCAGCCUGCUAAACUGCCACUGACACUGAUGCUCGAAAGUGUGGGUAUCAAACAGGAUUAGAUACCCGGGUAGUC